UACAAGCGUUAUCGGGGAUUUCUAUUGGAGAAGCAGUUUCUGCCUAUCUUCAUGAUUGUACUGUCUUUGGCUUCAUCGUUAUCGUUGAUUGACAGAUUUAUUUGUACUGCACGCCACCCCCUGGCACUAUCGUGACUGCUAAGUUGUUUUGUGUGUAGCCCCUCGACCCCGGCGUUGCUGGUUCUCAGACGGAAGAGGACACAUGAGGUUGUUGUAGGAGCGGGAAAAAAUGGCGACGAACAUCGACUACAGAGCUAACACAUUGAGGAAUCGAAAAAUUGUCUGAGUCUCACCGAUUCUCUGUGGAAACGUUAAAGUUCUGGGAUCAAGAAACUGGCAGAGCCAGGGGAGAUGGAGGAAGAUUCCGGGCACCUCGACAAGUCUGAUCAAAUGACCCACGGUCAACCAGCCUCUCAACAAUCCAUGUCUCCAAGUCAGUCAUUCCAGUGUAACCAUUGUGUCCUCCUAUUCAAAUCAAAAUAUUUCCUCCUGGAACACAUGAAGAAGGUGCAUGGCGUUGAUGUGGAUCCUUCACAAAAUGAUGGGAGUUCUAAUCCCUCAGAGAGUUCCACACAACCUCACAGUAGCACUCUCUACAACAAUUCAGAGGAGAGUUUCUCUUGCCGGCAUUGUAUGUUUACAUCUUCCAGUUGGCCUGUUAUUAUCAAACAUGAAAGAACAAAUCACAAGGUUUCGGUAAAGGGUCCUGGUAAGGGCAGGACCCUGAAUACACAGAAACUGUAUUUAAGGGGCAAGUUGCUUAAUGUCAAAGUGCCACUGCCAGGGAAUAAGAACCAACACAAUGUGUCAAGACUCCAAUGCAAACAAGGGGAAGUGGGGAGACUGAAUUUCCCCAAAUCCAAGUCUACCUCAAAAACCAUAAACAUUCCUAGCUCUAGUCUAUUGCUGGAGAACCUGCAAACUCAAGUGGGAUCCUCUGAAAAUAUUUCCAAAUUCAAAAUUGCGCAUGGGUCAUCUUUAAAUUCCUCACAACUGAAGUUGCCCAACCUCUCAAGGCCAUCACGUGCGCAUGAUGUGACCCUCGUGUCACAUGUGCCUUUCCUUAGCUAUGACCAAGACGGUGGUAAAGGUGUCUCUAAAGUAACUGAAGAGAGAUCUCAUACAGAAAGUGAACAGAAGGGCUCUCACUGCUGCUCACUCUGCAACUUUUCUGCAACUUGGCUAGAAGAUCUUCACACUCACCAGCGAAGUGAGCACAGUUACCUUUUUUACAGCAUGGGGCUAAGUCUGCUGGACGGAACAGCGACAGAACAGCGGGAUCCAAAACCUGAAACGUAUAAUGAAAUGCCACUAACAGAGCCAUUGGCUAAUGCCACCAAGAAGAGGAUGCAUGUUGACACUGCUUUGAGUCCUGCUAAGAAAAAGAUCAAAAAGAGCCCUGAAAGUACAGUCAUCCAAAGCAAGCUGUCAGGGGGCACUGCUUUCACCUUUGAGGUUAGUGAGGAUGAAGAGGAGGGGGAUGCCUGGAGAACUGAACUAGAUGCCUCAGGAACUGAAAAAGAUGAGCACGAUCAAUUGGAAAAUAGAGAAAGCAGGGACAAACACAAAAUACUUUAUCGUUGCAAACAUUGUGACUACAAUCACAGGUCAUCUCGCAGUUUGAGCACCCAUUACCAGAGAAUGCACCCAUACAUCAGGUAUGACUUUCAGUACAUCAUUAAUCCAGAUGAUUGGACUGCCACCUUCCGUUGCUUGGAGUGUCCUGUUGAGUUUGCCACCCCUGAUGACCUCAAGAAGCACUAUAGGGAUCAUCACCCAGAAGUUCCAGAUGUGUUCAUGAUGCGAUCAGAUCAGCUUGAUUUGGUGUACAAGUGCUUUGCCUGCCCAUUCACCAUUUCUAAUGGCAAAUACUUGAAACCCCAUUACAAAAACAAACAUCCAAAACUGAAAAUGAGCAGUCCUUUAAUGUACUGCAGUUUUACUGCCAAGCCUUCUAAAGACGAACCCUCUAAAUCACAUUUAGGGCAAACCUCCAGCCUAAAGAAUGCAGAGGUUGUCUCUCCUGAGAGGUCUCUGACCCCAUGUAAAGAAACUGUUCAUAUCAACUCUACACCCCCAAAAGAAUGUUCUGCUUGCAUGGGAGUGGAUGAGGAACUGUACCACUGCAAACAUUGUGCCUUCAGCAAUAAGUCAGUGGUUCUUGUGCUUGCCCACUUCCAAAAAAGCCAUCCGAAGGCAGGAUUGACAAUUGAUGACAUAAAACAAGAAUCUCUUGCCACUUCCAGGGAAGCUGAGGACGAAACCCAGUCGUCUCCUCAAAAUAUGGUUUUGGAACCAUUCAAACUCCCAGAAGUAAAGUCCCCCAACACGUCCCUCUUUAAACCUGAUGUUGCACAGGAUGAUGUAGAGAACGUGUUUUUCUGCCAGCAUUGCAACUAUGGCAACCUCACAGUGAAGGGGGUGUUGAAUCACCAAAGGUCAAGACACAGUGAUCUCAAUGCUACUGUUGAACAGAUCCAUUUCCAUACUGCGGAGGUUCAUAGUCAAAGCAAAGUGUCACAGGGCAUAGGAAAAGUCUCACAUAGCACUCCCCUCCAAAAAGAUUUAGCACAGGAACAUGUUAUAAAGCCAUUCAAACUCCCAGAAGUUAAGUCUCCUAACACAUCCCCUCCCAUAUCCAAUGUUUCGCAGGCAGAUGAGAGUUUGUAUUUCUGCCAGUUUUGUGGCUAUUGCAACCCUACAGUGAGAGGCGUUAUGAAUCAUCAGAAGUUGAGACACAGUACUCGUAAGUCAACUGCUGAACGGAUCAUUAAACAUACUGCUGCGAUUCGUAGCAACCCCAAAGUGAGAGGGGUUUUGAAUCAUCAGAAGUUAAGACACAGUACUCGUAAGUCAACUGCUAAACGGAUCAUUAAACAUACUGCUGCGAUUCGUAGCAACCUCAAAUUGAGAGGGGUUUUGAAUCAUCAGAAGUUAAGACAGAGUCAUCUCAAGGUGACUGCUAAUAAGGUCAUCAAGCACACUGCUGAGGCUCAUGUUCAAAGUGAAAACCUUCAGUCUACUGGAUUUGACUCAUCAAACUCUUCUCUCAAAUCCACUGUUGAGAACGAGAUAGCUGACUUGUUUUUUUGCCAGUACUGCAACUAUGGCAACCCCAGAGCUAUAGGGGUUUUGAAUCAUCAGAAAUUAAGACAUCGUUGUCUUCAGACAUCAACUAGUCAGAUCCUUCAAUAUACAUCUGAGCUUCGUAGUCAGAAAGAUAAACCUCAGUCUGCUGGAUUUGACUCCUCUCUCCUCACAUCUGAUAUUGGAAAUGAGGCAGGUAACUUGUUUUUCUGCCAAUUUUGCAACUAUGGGCAUCCCUCAAUGAGAGGAAUGUUGAAUCAUCAAAAGAGAAGACACAGUGAACUCCAAACAACACCUGGCGACAUCUUCAGGCAUACUGCUGAGGUUGGAGGGCAAACCGAAGAAUCCAAAAAGUCUAAGGGAGUCAACUUGACAAAUUCUUCUCACAUCUUACCUCUUCCUCUUGUGACAGAAGAGGCUGUGUUAUUCUGUCAGCUUUGCAACUAUAGCAAUCGAACCAUGAGGGUGGUUGUGGAACAUCAAAGGAAAAGACACCCAGAUCUUAAAGCAACUGCUAAACAAAUCCUUGAAUAUACCGCUAUGAUUUUGUCCCAAACUAGCAAAUCGCCUAACUCCUCUUUCUUAACAUCUGAUGUUGUCCAAGAAGAGUUAGAUACUUUCUUCUGCCAAUAUUGUGACUAUAACAAUCCCACAGUGAGGGGGAUUUUUAAUCAUCAAAGUAAAAUGCAUUGUGAUCUCGAAACAAACGCUGCGCAGAUCUUAAGGCAUACUGUUGUCGUCCGAGAGCAAACUAAAAAAUCUCAGCCAAAAGCAGUGAACUCACCUAACUCUCCUCACCUCUUGUCUCAUCCUCUUUUGAAGGACGAGGUUGAACACGUGUUUUUCUGUCAGCUUUGCAACUAUAGCAAUUCAACGGUGAUGGGGGUUUUGAAUCAUAAAAGGAAAAGACACCUUGAUAUGAAGCCAACUGCUAAGCAAAUCCUUGAAUAUACUGCUACUGUUUUGGGGCAAAUGAGCAAAUCCCACCCAGUACGAAGAGACUCGCUAAACUCAUCCCAAGAAGAAGAGAGAAAGUUGUUUUACUGCCAGCAUUGUGACUAUGACAAUCCGACAGUUAGGGGUGUUUUGAAUCAUCAAAAAUUAAGACAUAGUGAUCUGAAGGGAACUGCGGAUCAGGUUGUCAGGUAUACUGCAAUUGUUCCCGGCCCAAAUAAAAAAUCAACAAUGCAACAGCCUAACAGGUCCUCCAUGAAAGCCUCACAAUCUCUCAAGCAGAAAGCUGCACUGCUCAGGUCCUUGAAGUGCCGCAAAUGCUCUUAUACUACUCCCCAUAUAUAUCUUUUGAAAAGACAUCUGAGGAAUAACCACCAAGAGAAAGCCCCGAUCACUACGAUUAUACAUUGGGCUUACCAAGAUGGCCAUUUACAGGAAGGUUAUCACUGUGAGUGGUGUGCUUGUUCACAUACUGAUGCGAAGGGACUCCUCCGGCACUACCGGCAACGUCAUCCAGAUAAAAAAACUGGACUUGAAUCCAUCAUCCUGAGGUUACAUGCCGGCCCUAAGACAUCUCGAUCUAAAAAAAUGAAGCCUAACCCAGAACACAAUGAAAAACAUGAUCAGAUUAUCCUCAGGUUUGGGGAUGUUCCAAAGACCACUUCAUCUUUUCAGACCGGAGGAGGUGACACACAAGUCUACCCAUGCAGAGCGUGUCCCUUUAAGGCUACUUCCAUGGGGGGUAUAAGCAGCCACUACCAUGCAGUUCAUCCAUGGUCUGUCAAGGAAGAUGGGUCUGUGUUAGAUGUCAUUAGUAGUAGGCAGCCCCAAGAACCGGAGGUCAAUGAACAGCUUGAUGUUCAUGAAACCUUGAGUUCAAGCGAGACAUAUAGGUGCCCUGUCUGUUCUGGAGAGUUCAACACCCUCCAUGGUAUGUCUACUCAUUGUGGAAAGAAACAUCCGGAAUAUGAUUUGAAAGUCCAUGAACAGCUUAGUGUUCAUGAAACUCCAAAGCCAAACCAGCGAUAUAGGUGCACUGUCUGUUCCGGAGAGUUCAACAACCUCCAUGGUAUGUUAACUCAUUGUGGUAAGAAACAUCCGGAGUAUGAUACAUCAACUUAUGAAAGGGAACCUGAAGCGGAACCUAGUACAAGUGAGGGGACUCUGGUAUUCAAGUGUUCAAUCUGUCCGUAUGUGAACUCUCACGCUCAUGGUGUUCUAACUCACUGCCAGAUGAGGCAUCCAGCCGUCAAAGCCAGAACUGAGAGACUUGAACAAGAAAUUGUGCACUUCACUGACCCAAAUGAAUGCCUGAAAGUCCGAUCGGGUAAGCGGAUGGGAUUGGCAGGCUUCCGGUGCAAUAUUUGUCCAGUCAUCCAUGCAAAAUUCAAGAAGUUGAAGGCUCACUAUGAGAUGGAUCACAAACGAUCUGCCGCAAAUAUAUUCAAACCGGCUUUGAAACAAUCCGCUGCCAUUAAAAAACAAUUGCUCUCCAAAUACAGAGGCUCCCAGACCUCAAUUGCCCAGGCUGCCAUUUUAAAAAAUGGGAAAUCCAUCAUAGUCAAGUGCCACCUUUGCAAGUACCUUUGCGCCACUAAAAAGGGCCUUGCCUGUCAUCUUCGCAUUAACCACAGUACAGUGGCUCCAAUUGAGGACAAAGAGUUUUCCUACAAGUGUGCUCUGUGCUCGUAUACAACUUUGAUUUGUAAAUACCUUGCAGCCCACUAUAGGAGGCAACAUGGCAAUGCUGCUUUCACCAACCACUUUGUUCCAGCAUUCAGACCUCACCGCAUUCUUCCAAACUCACCGGACCACAAGGCUUCUUUGAGUCAGGAAACCAAAUCACCUGGUGAGAAGAUAAGCUGUUCUCGCUGUUUUUUCCAAUGUCUUAGUGAAAAAGGCCUGGUCUCCCAUUAUGCGAUUUGCCACCCAGAAGUCUCUCCCAGCAAGCACAAAUCUAGCAAACUUAGCCUGAAUAACACAGUGCAGUCUCCCCCCAAGCCUAGAAAUCAUCCCCAGCAACAUAAACCUGUAUGCAAAUUAUUUGAUCCACAAUGUGAGAAAGGCAAAGCAUUGCGUCCAGUUAAAUGCAAGAAAUGCGUGAAGUUAUCUUUCAACUCAAAUCUGCUGCUAAGUAUCCACUACACCAAUUUCCACAAUGAAGAUUUCACACAAGACUUCACUAUACUUUCAAAGACUUCAGAGGAUGGCACAGAGUUCUACAGAUGUGGAUACUGUAACCUCCAAAUCCAGGGCAGUGCGGAUCUCUGCUCCCAUCUCGACCAUCAUAAUGAGGAGUUUCAGAAGCUGACAAAUGGACAGAAGAGGAAACAACGCCUCAGUGACCCACCGCCAAAGACCAAGCCUGUUAAGCAGGAAAGACAAGAACUGCCCGAGGUUCUGACAGCAGAAGAAUCGGACAGUCAUUGGAUUGUGACACAGGUGGAAUCUGUUACAACAGGGAUGGGUCCACUGGUGUCCCCUUCCCCUGUCCCAUCGACAACAGAACCAGAGGGGGGGUCAGUAGGAGAGGAGUGCAACCACUGUGGGCGAACUUUCAUGUCUUUGAAAGGUUUACGCUCACAUGAGCGGAGCCAUGCAGCUACAGCAGCGCUCAAACGGCUGGACAAUGUACCUCCUCAACAGAAGCAGAUGUUUGACCGCCAUAUUAGACAUCGACCCGGGACCAUCAGACCCUUCCACUGUGGGCUCUGUCGUUACAGAACUACCAUAUUGAGCCUCUUGAAGAAUCAUCUGCUCAAAGUACAUGGUGCUCAGGACCCAUCCAAGAACCUCCCUUCCUCCGUGACCGGUAGCGAGAACAAGGAACACACCCUGAGUGCCGCUGAAGAGACCCAGAACCUGCUAGAACCUCAAGAAGGCAACCAAAUGUCUGAUGAUUCUGAGGAAUCAGACCUCACUGAAAAACCAGUAUACUCGGAGCCCCCAGAUGUCCAGAGGCAGCUCAACCACUACAGGCAGGUGGCUCAGGCCAAGGCCUCCAGCAGCCCUCCAAGCCCACAGACCACCAGGACCACUCAAGAUGGCUUACUCGUCUGUGAGUUUUGUAUCUACACCUCAACACACAUCAAGAGUAUGCGUCGACACUACAUAAAUCGCCACAAUGGGAAAAGGCUUGUGAGGUGCAAGGACUGCUCAUUUUUCACAGGCUUCAGGAAGAAGUUGGAUAUGCACAUAGAGACGGCACAUGCCGGUAGCCCAACAGAAGCUCCUAAGGAGCUACACUGCCCUCUCUGUCUUUACCACACCAAAAACAAAAACCGCAUGAUCGACCACAUUGUCCUCCAUCGUGAGCAGCCAGUGGCCCCUAUAGAGGUGCGUCGUCCGAAGCUGUCACGAUAUCUCGAGGGUAUCGUGUUCCGCUGCCACAAGUGCACCUUCACCAGUUCCAGUGACAAGAAACUGCUACUGCACAUGCUCAAGCACGACGAUAUCAAGCCCUACAAAUGCAGACUGUGCUACUUCGACUGCACACAGCUGAGCGAGUUGGAGGCACACCUGUGCGAUAAACACCAGGUUAGUGUUCUAGCUACACUCUCCUUACACCCCCUCAAUCAUGACUCCCAUGCUAACUAGACUGUGGCUCUAAUCAGAAACAGCUCCUAAGGCACAGAGGACUGUGCCUUAGGAUUUCAGACUUGAUGUAUCAAGUCUUCUCUGUUGAGUCAUUUGUCCUUCUGUAGCUGAUGUAAAUAUGUAAUCUUCCUUGUGGUGUUCUCUCCGGGAGGUUGUGAGGAACCAUGAGCUGGUGGGACAGGUCCAUCUGGAGGAACUGGAAACAAGACUGAGCAGAGUCAACGGGGAGGGAGAACAAUUCAUGGACUGUGAGGAGACCCAAGGGCAACAAGAUGAGGUGAACAAAGAUGGCGAUAAGGAGGUGGCAGAGAACACAGCCCAAAACAGUGAAUUCCAGGAUUUUAGUAAUGACAAGAACCAAGAGGGACAAUAUAAGAAAUUCCAAGAGAAGGUAGAGGAACAUUUAAUGGACUGUGAGGAGGAGAACCAAGAACCUGGAGAGAUGGACAUAGAAGAACAAAACAUCCAAUAUCAUGAGAUGCCAGUGCUUAAAGAUGAAGCCUGCAACUAUCACAAGAUGCCAGUGCUUGAAAAUGAAGAGGGCAAAGAGGAAAUGCACAGUAAUCAUGGUGCCACACAGGAAAAUGAGGAGGAGGCAGUGAAGACUGACCGUCUAAAACCUGAGUGCGAUAAUAAACCGGAGCAAGGGUCUGAACAGGAUGAAAAAUAUGAAGAAAACCCCAAGAGUGGCGAGAAGCAAGAUCACGAGGUGGAGGAAAACAACAAGGAAAAUGGCAACAUAUCUUCACCAAAAGAUGCCUCCACUACCCUGAAGAUAAUUCCAGUGACCAGAAAUGAGAAAGCACUUUCCUGCGAGCUCUGUGGCCGGACUCUCAUGAACAGCACUGACCUGGAACGGCAUGUGAUGCGCCAUGGCUUGUAACUCUGUGUUGGUGCAACUGAUGAGGAUGUAUUGAUACUGAGGGUGUUGCUGCUUAGAAAUGGGAGACAUGUCAUAAGAGGGCUGCUUUUAACAGCAAGCUGAUUAUGUAAAGUUCAAUUGAAUAAUGUUUUAUUGUCACUUGUUGCAUACUGUUUCCACCUGUAACUAACUUCUUGACUGGAGACACUGCAGCUAUUGUUGUAAAGGACAUUCUUUUAUUAUUGUAUAUUAUGUCAUGCCAGAAUGACUGUUCACAUUUCCAACAUAUUGGCUGUUUUGAUGCUUUGUAAAUAUGUUGAUCUUGUUGUCUUUUAACAUUUCUGUAAUAAAUGACUUUACCCUAGAGC
This is an RNA transcript of Oncorhynchus kisutch (coho salmon), 8868 nucleotides long. It is a transcript of the gene named zinc finger protein 462, with no coding region annotated. The record is from RefSeq and is a predicted model, not a curated record. The transcript is spliced from 10 exons. NCBI's taxonomy places the organism in Eukaryota, Metazoa, Chordata, Actinopteri, Salmoniformes, Salmonidae.